GUCUCCAGAAAUGACUCAUGAAGGCUCUGUAGUUAACGCAUAAAACCUUUAAAGUUGACUCAUAAGGUCUUCAGAGGUGAAACAUAAAACUUCGGCAGUUAACCUAUAAGAUCUUAAUGAGACGUUUACAUUAAACCUAUAACAGAACUAUGAAGUUAUAAAAUAUUCGGAGCUGAUUCUGUAAGAUCUCCGAAUAUUAUUUGCAAGCCUUCAGACUUAGCUAAGAGUUGUUCUUAACAGGAA
Ochlerotatus camptorhynchus is the source of this 243-nucleotide long non-coding RNA. RefSeq lists it as uncharacterized. The transcript is spliced from 2 exons. The record is from RefSeq and is a predicted model, not a curated record. NCBI's taxonomy places the organism in Eukaryota, Metazoa, Arthropoda, Insecta, Diptera, Culicidae.